UUUUGGCUAAAAAAGAUAAGUGAAGAUAUAUUUGGACUUCAAGAUAAAAUGAAGGUGUAUAAAUCCGUUUUAAGAGAGUAAAUGGGGGACUUUUAGAAACGUUUUAGGUUAAGUGGAAAAAGAAAAAAAAAAUACAUCAGGAGGCAACCGAGUGAGUUGAGUGGCAACUUUAGCUUCUUUUGUUUAGUGAGGAACUCUGAGAGAUUGAAGAAAGAAGGAGCAUCCAACAAACCGGAAGCAACCCUUUGGAAGCCAAGGUAAGGGGAGAAACCAAAUUUCUCAUGUUGUGUAUAUGUGUUAUGCAUUGUAUCAUUGGUUUUGAUGAGUGUUUUAUGCCGUAAGGGGAGUAACCUAGAAUUAUCUUGUGUAUGUAGUGUUUGGUAUUCUAUGUUAAUUCUUAUUAUAUAUUGUGCUGUAUGUGGGUGGUGUUGUUCUUUCUCUUCUUGGUAUCACUAGGGAUGAUGAGGGAUGGGUUGAGAGAAUAACGUAAAUGUAGGGUGAAGUAUUUCUGGGUUAGUUGGGUAAAGGUAGAAAGGGUUAUGUAAUACGGGAUAAAGUUGAAGUGUGGUUGGUGGAAGCAAAGAGGAGAGGAAUGACUUGUGGAGGAACCAUGGAUUUAAUAGGACGUUAAGUGAGAGUGAGGAUGGGAUUAUGGACAAUGAUGAUUUGGUAAGGAUGACUCUUUCGAUCGUGUGAUGCGGGAAAGAAAUCCACUUCAGCCGUGUAAUGCAGGAAGAUGAUGAUUUGCUAGUGAUGACUCAUUCGGCCGUGUGUUGCAGGAAAGAAAUUCUCUUCGACCGUGUGAUGCGGGAAGAUGAUGGUUUAAUAGUGAUAACUCUUUUGGCUCUGUGAUGUGCAAAAGAGGUUCUUGUUGGUCGUAUGGUGUGGGAGGACAGUGUCGUGUGACUCAUAAUGAAUUGAUUAUGGAGAUUAGGUGGUGUGGUAGUGUAAAGGAAAUAAACCAUUGGGAUGUGAUGUCAAUAUGGUGAGCUUAUUAUUGUGAUGUUAAUAUUAUGAUGUUAAUGUUGUGGUGAUAUAUGUUUAGGAUUUGGUUAUUAAUGUGGUUAAUAUAAUUGUAUAUUGUAUGAUAAGAUAAUUCUGGUUGCUCACCUUGAAAGUUGUGGUUGUGGUUUCCACCUAUGAUGAUCGUACUUGUACGGGAGUAGAUGGUUUGCAAAUAAGAUCGAAUCUGAGUAGCUGACGGGAGUUAGGAUGUUAGGUUCGGGAUCUUUUAUUUACUUUCUAUUAUUUAAAAGUUUUU
This 1261-nucleotide long non-coding RNA is filed under the name Vigna radiata. Its description in RNAcentral is "long non-coding RNA (VRAD_LNC018600)". Lineage: Eukaryota; Viridiplantae; Streptophyta; Magnoliopsida; Fabales; Fabaceae. The record is from RNAcentral.